CUCUACAGCCAUACUACCCUGAACACACCCGAGUUCACGUGAUCCUGGAACCUAGCAGGUCGGGCCUGGGGGCCUGGUUAGUACUUAGAUGGGAGACCACCUGGGAAUAACCGGUGCUGUGGGCU
RNAcentral lists this ribosomal RNA (125 nucleotides) under Chinchilla lanigera (long-tailed chinchilla). The record is from RNAcentral. Lineage: Eukaryota; Metazoa; Chordata; Mammalia; Rodentia; Chinchillidae.